Molecule: long non-coding RNA, 464 nt
Organism: Xiphophorus maculatus (southern platyfish)
Lineage: Eukaryota; Metazoa; Chordata; Actinopteri; Cyprinodontiformes; Poeciliidae
Exons: 3
Source: RefSeq, a predicted model, not a curated record
UAAUGAUGGUAUGAUGAGAUCUUGUUUUGUCAUUUUCUUCACUGUUUGUUCCAGAAAUAUCAGUACAUUGAAAACUUGUCCUUUUGUAGUCAAAGUAGCAAAUUGGAAGGCAAUUAAGCACCACAGAUUAAAAGUUUUUCUUCCAGUCUUUAUUUCUAGUUGUCUCUCUUUAGCGCCGGUGCAGUAUUGUUGUAUGAACUUAUUAAAAAUGUUGAUGAUGAAUGCCUUCCUGUUUACAGGUGAGGGACGCAGAGACCUGAUUGGAGUUUCUACUGAACAACAACAAAAACUGAUUUCUAAACAUCUUUUGACCGAAACGAAGUGGACCUAAACUUACUCGGUGAAGCCGGCCGGUCAGGUGAAGACGGGCAGCGCUGGGUCUGAGGGUGGAUCUGGGCAGUUGCUGCGGUAACUUGGGGGUGAACCCGGCGUGAGUGUCCGUGUCGGGGGUGACAGUCGUGGAC